Molecule: small RNA, 1671 nt
Filed under: Pongo abelii (Sumatran orangutan)
Lineage: Eukaryota; Metazoa; Chordata; Mammalia; Primates; Hominidae
Description: processed transcript
Source: RNAcentral
AUGUAAGAAUUUCAAGGCCACAACUCCGUAUUUGAAGUAAAGUGCUCAUAAAAUUAAUUGCAAGGUUUUGAGAAGCCAUCUGCAGCUCACAACUAGAUGAGUGACACAAUCAGAUAAAAAAGCCUAGAGACAUUGAACUAAGAUCAAAUUAAAUGUAUUAAAUAUGGUAGAAAGAAGACAGAAUGAAAAAUAAUGUUAACAAUCUAGGUGAGGAAUUGCUGAGGAGACAAAUUAAGUAAAUACUGUGGAAGGAAAGAAGAAAGGAAGAAAGAGGAUUGGAUGGAAGAAUCUCCAUUUCUCAUAGGUGUAGUCCUUCCUUAGCCUGCUUUUUAAUGAGUGCUGCUAAAGCCCUUAGCCUGCCUGUUUACCCUUGGAGUGGAGCAAUUAACUGAAGAUAUUUGAGUGAGUUCAAGAGAGACUCAGAAGAGAAGAAUUGGAGGCAGCAAACAUACACAGCACUUUUAACGCUUUUCUUAUAUGCUGUAAGACAUUAAAGCAAUCUAUUGGGAUGAAAGCUGAAAGGAGAAGAGGGACAAGAGAGGUGAAUCCAUGGAAGACCCCCAAAAGAGGCUGCGGAUUCUUGGUGGACAGCUCUCAUAUCCCCUCCAGGGAAAAUGAUGAAAAAUGUCUUCAGAAAAAUAGCUUUAUGAAGGCAAGAGGAAUUUUUGCACCUGAAAGACAUGUCUGAAAGCUCCUCAGGUCAAAACACAAGUAGUCAAGAGAUUUGUCCAUCUAAUUCACCAUACUACUCUGAUCCAAGUGAGACCCACACUGGGUCAGCUCCAUCAAGGAGAAGAACAUUCCACCCACGUUUGGAUUCUGGAAUAUCAUCCCUGCUUCCAUCAGAUUCUUGUAAGUACCUCACUUUGCAGAAGGUAGAACAACAUGACAUUCAAGGAAGUCAGCUGUGUUGCCCAAGAGUAAGAGAAGGACCCUCUGAAGAAGAGCAACUUUUCAGACAGGUAGAGUGUGCCUUGCUCCCAAGGAAAAGAGUUCUUGACAAAAACAAAUGGGAAAUAUGGCUACAAGAAAACUGGGAAGACUGCAAGAAAAUCUCAGAAUCUGCUUGAGAAUCAUAUCCUCCUUCCUCCAUACACCCAUGGAACCCUCCCGAACCCUGUAUGCUGCUCACUAAUUCUGAUCAAGAUCUUCACCCUCCCUAUCCUGAAAAUUGCUACAACAUAAUUGUGUUUGGAUGUAUAAUUAAUAUAUACAAUACAUUUUAAAUGAAUAAAGUUGACAAAAACCUUACUUUUUAUUUGUUUUUCCUCAGAAUUUGAACAUUUCAUUUCAGGAUUUGGGGGAUCCUUACCAAGUUGAAGAUUUUAACAGAAUUCUUAGAAGACUAAUUCGAGUUGAAACCCUCUGUUACCAAAGAUACCUCAGAUACAGCAUUUAUCCUUGGCCGAAAACCACAUUGAGACUCUUACUGGAUUCUCCAGUUUACGGUGCACUCCACUGGAAUCCCUUAUUCUCAGGAGGAACCCUUAGUAUUCUCCUGUUUGCCAAACUUAAAAAUGCUGGAUGGAAUCUUGAAGCUACCAGAAGAUUGCUCAUCACCAGAAACCAAUAUUUUUUCAAAAAUAUGCCUAGUAUCCUAAUGCAGUCUGUAUAGAAAGAAAGCAAUCAUCAUUGUUGCUAAAAGCUAAUAAACACAGGAAAUGCAUGAUU